Molecule: long non-coding RNA, 3056 nt
Organism: Myxocyprinus asiaticus (Chinese sucker)
Lineage: Eukaryota; Metazoa; Chordata; Actinopteri; Cypriniformes; Catostomidae
Exons: 3
Source: RefSeq, a predicted model, not a curated record
CUUUUAUUCACCAAAGUGGCAUUCAUCUGAUCAAAAUGUAUAGUCAGGACAUUAAUCAUGUGAAAAAUUACUAUUUCAAUUUAAAAAACAUGUUCAGAACUUCUUAAACUACUUCAAAGAGUUCUCAUCAAAAAAUCCUACUCAUGUAGCAAUGACAGCUUUGCAGGUCCUUGGCAUUCUAGCUGUCAGUUUGUCCAGAUACUCAGGUGACAUUUCACCCCACGCUUACAGUCCUUACAGUCUAGCUGAUCCCACAAAAGCUCAAUGGGGUUAAGAUCCAUAACACUUUUUUCUAAUUAUCUGUUGUCCAAUGUCCAAUUCUUUUUGUUUUUCUGUUUCAGUAGUGGUUUUUUCUUUGCAAUUCUUCCCAUAAGACCUGCACCCCUGAGACUUCUCUUUACUGUUGUACAUGAAACUGGUGUUGAGCGGAUAGAAUUCAAUGAAGCUGUCAGCUGAGGACAUGUGAGGUGUCUAUUUCUCAAACUAGAGACUCUGAUGUACUUAUCCUCUUGUUUAGUUGUACAUCCUUCCACAUCUCUUUCUGUCAAUUGUUAGAGCCAGUUGUCCUUUGUCUUUGAAGACUGUAGUGUACACCUUUGUAUGAAAUCUUAAGUUUUUUUUGGCAAUUUCAAGCAUUGUAUAGCCUUCAUUCCUCAAAACAAUGAUUGACUAAUGAGUUUCUAGAGAAAGCUGUUUCUUUUUUGCCAUUUUUGACCUAAUAUUGACCUUAAGACUUGCCAGUCUAUUGCAUACUGUGGCACCUCAAAAACAAAGACAAUGUUAAGCUUCAUUUAAUGAAUGAAAUAGCUUUCAAAUGUGUUUGAUAUCAUGGCAAGUGAUUAGCAAUUUAGCAUGAUUACUUAAGGAUAAGGUGUUGGAGUGAUGGCUGCUGGAAAUGGGGCCUGUCUAGAUUUGAUAAAAAAUUACAUUUUUCAAAUAGUGAUGGUGCUGUUUUUUAUAUCAGUAAUGUCCUGACUAUAUUUUGUGAUCAGCUGAAUGACACUUUGAUGAAUUAAAGUACCAAUUUCCUUCCGAAACAGCAAACUCUGUACAUUAUUCUAAACAUUUGGCCGACUGUGUGUGUUCACGAAGGUAUACAAACUUACAGGCAACCUGAUGUUUGAAACCUUUUCGAAGCGCAAGACCGUCUUGUGGGUGCUUCCUGGAGAAAACUCUCGUCAACAGCGAUUCACGAUCAGCGAAUCACUGAGAAACCUACUCCUAAACAGUGCUUCCAAACACGAGCAGCAAACCCCAGAGAAAACCGCUCAUAAACCGCACUUCCCAAUCGCUAGUGGCACUUCACGGAGAAAACCGCUCGUAAUCCUAUCCGCAAACACGGUGACGAAACAGUUUGCGGAUGUCAGCUGAAGCACUCUUCAAAAACAAACUGCACAAAAUAUCACCACAAUCGAUUAUUUCAAGCGAGAAUGAAGAGAUCGAGCUGACGUGUUCAGGGGUUUUUGUAGCGCAAGCGCAAGCGUUUUCCACUAGUACUUUCAGUACUGCCUCUGGCGGACUGGAAUGAAAGGAAAUAGAAACGGUCACGGAAAGUCGGUUGAGCUGAAAGCUUGAGGGCGAAGUUACUCUGGAAAGUAAGAAAUAUAAAUGUAUUUGUUGAUUAAUUUUAUGUUAUUUUUAUUUAUUUCGACCUAACACCUUGUCAUUUAUGACUCACAUGCUUAUUUCAGCAAGCACAAAGAAUAAAUGUCAACUAAAGAUUUUCGUCCAGGCCUGCGAUAUUCUCCGCCAGGAGGCAAUUAAUUUCAAACUUGAAGCACUAAAAUCUCUGUUGUGGAUUGACUAGUAAUCCUGAUACUAGGUUAUGUUAUAAUUAAAUGUUCUUUGCAUUAAGAAAACAAGGGAAAAAAUGAAACAAGUUUCCAGGAGCACAUCACAGCAUUGAAUUGCCAACUGCACUGAUAUAAAAGAGAUUAAUAAAGCUCUAUUCAAGAGUGUGAAUAUGUCAAAUGUCCAAAGUCAAAGAGAGGAAGUCAUGGAAAUGUUUCAAUUUCUCUACUUGUGAAUAUUUGUUGUUUGUAAUUUUAUUGUCAUGUACAAAAAUAUGAUAAUUAUGUAUUUUUUAAUUGAAUAUGGCAUAUUCAUUUAGCCUGGGUUUUAGCAAAGACCUUCACUUAACUCAGAGUACUUCUGAAGUUCUGGCCACCAACAUCAUCAGAGCCAUGACAAGUGGAAGUCAAAGGGGACAUUUGACUUCAAUACAAUGACAUAAACAAUGCCAUAAAAGUGGCUCUGGAGUGCAGCAUUACUAGUUUGACCAUCUUCAUACAGAUAAAACACAACAUUCCUAUUUAUGGAUCAGCACAUCCAUCCUUAACCUGAUAUUUCAUAUGGUGUUAAGACCCCUCAGUGCAGAGAUUCGUCAUCAAACUGAUGACAUGGAGAUGGCUGAAGUGAAGUGAAGUGAAAACAAAAUGAUUCUGUAUCUGCCCAAAAUUUUUUUAACAGCUUUUCAUUGGUUAUUUUUUUAUUUUUACUUAGUUCUUUACUUGUUUUAUUAAUCUUACUUAUGGUUAUAAAGUUAACUUAUAGUUAAUGUUAAAUUAUUUAAUGUUUAUGAUUUUCAUAUAAAUAAUAUUACUACCAAUUAACUUUUAGCUUAUCAUUACAAACCUGUGGAUUUAUUAAGUCAAUUCUCAUAACUUGUGUUAAUUAUUGCUUGUGUUGUUGUAAAUACAAGCUAUUAAAAUGUUUUACUUAAUAAUACUUGAAUGUCUUUUAUAUGGUUAUUUCACUUUCUUAGUUGUAUAGUAUAUGAACUAUUCAAUAUGCAUAUCCAUUAAAUGUUUUCCUGGUAAUAAAAAUAAAUAAAAAAACUAAACAAAAAACAAAUGUUACAGUUGCAUAUUGGGAACCCCUAAAAGGUUCUAUAUAAAAACUUUCCACCUGGCUCAAAGAACCCUUAAGGGUUCUUUUGAUAGAACCCUUAAAAAGGGUUCUAUAUAUGCUGUGAUCUGAAUCCUAAUGUGAUUGGUUUAGCAUUCCAUGAUGCUGGACAAUGUACUGCAUCACUUCCUAUGAAGUCAUCUGAUCCU